GGACGAUCGCUGGGCGGGCGUGCCUAACGCAUGCAAGUCGAGCGGGGGAUGCUAACUGGAGAGGCGGGAACUCCUGAAGCUUAGCAUCUAGCGGCGGACCGGGUGAGUAACACGUGAGCAACUUCCCCUCUGCACGGGGAUAACAGCUCGAAAGGGCUGCUAAUACCCGAUGGGACCACGUCAUCGCAUGGUGAUGUGGUGAAAGGCUGGACGUAUGGUCCCAUACCGGCUGGGGAUGGGCUCGCGGCCCCAUCAGCUAGUUGGUGGGGUAACGGGCCUACCCAAGGCGACGACGGGUAGCCGGCCUGAGAGGGGUGACCGGCCACAGUGGGACUGAGACACGGCCCACACUCCCUACGGGAGGCAGCAGCGGGGAAUCUUGCGCAAUGGGCGAAAGCCUGACGCAGCGACGUCGCGUGAGGGAAGGAGCCCUUCGGGGUGUAAACCUCUUUGGACGGGGAGAAGUAGGAGAUAGUACCCCGUUUUAAAAAGCCCACGGCUAAACUACGUGCCCAGCAGCCCGCGGUAAUACGUAGGUGGGCGAGCGUUUGUCCCGGAAUUACUGGGCGUAAAAGGUGCGUAGGCGGCCUGGUAAGGUUGAGCGUGAAAAUUUUUGGGCUCAACCCAAAAGGAGCGUUCAAGACUGCCAGGGCUUGAGUGCGGGAGUGGACGGCGGAAUUCCCGGUGUAGCGGUGAAAUGUGUAGAUAUCCGGAGGAACAACCAGUGGCGAAGGGCGGCCGUCUGGACCGUAACUGACGCUGAGGCACGAAAAGCGUGGGGAGCAAACAGGAUUAGAUACCCUGGUAGUGCACGCUGUAAACGAUGGAUGCUAGGUGUGGGGGAGAAGAACUCUUCCGUGCCGGAGUUAACACAAUAAGCAUCCCGCCUGGGGAGUACGGCCGCAAGGUU
Molecule: ribosomal RNA, 910 nt
Filed under: uncultured bacterium
Lineage: Bacteria
Description: bacterial SSU rRNA
Rfam family: Bacterial small subunit ribosomal RNA
Source: RNAcentral